RNAcentral lists this transfer RNA (71 nucleotides) under pig gut metagenome. It matches the Rfam family "tRNA". Rfam says of the family: Transfer RNA (tRNA) molecules are approximately 80 nucleotides in length. Their secondary structure includes four short double-helical elements and three loops (D, anti-codon, and T loops). The record is from RNAcentral.
GGGGUAUGGCUCAGUUGGUAGAGCGUCUCGUUCGCAACGAGAAGGCCGCGGGUUCGAAUCCCACUAUCUCC